Equus caballus (horse) is the source of this 4301-nucleotide non-coding RNA. NCBI's taxonomy places the organism in Eukaryota, Metazoa, Chordata, Mammalia, Perissodactyla, Equidae. The record is from RefSeq and is a predicted model, not a curated record.
CAGAGCGCGUGAACUUAACCGCUCGGCCAUGGGGCUGGCCCCAAACUGUCCUAUUUUUAAACAAAAUUAUAUCCACUCUAUAGUUUGGUAUUAUGGAACAAUAGUGACAGUCAAAAUUUUGACUUAGCAAAAUUACUUUUGGAAAUUGCACAGGUUGGUGAAAUCCAAAAGUCGGAGAACUCCUGAUUUAGUAGAUGCCUUCCAUUCUAGAAAGGACCUAUGGUCUCCCUAACUUACUCUACUCAGUGCUGCUUUUAGAUGCUUGUUCCUGCUCUUUCCCUAACCCUGGAAUACCAAGCCUUCAAAUUCCACCUGUUUUUAAAGACCUGCCAUUUUAUUCAUUCAUUCAGUCAGUCUGUCAGUCAGCUUACUCAAAUAUUUACUGAGCAUCUAAGUGGAAGGCAUUACGCUUGGCUGAAAGAAUUAGAAGUGUGUGUGCCAAGAUGAUUAGCUCAUGAACCCUUCGUAAGAGUUUUAUAUACUACGCUCUCCAUCAAGUCUUCAGUGAUGGACUGAUUAACAAUUUCUGAAUCGCAUCACCUGUUAAUGGAAUGAUGAGGGGCCAGACUAUUUAAAAGCAGAGCUGCUUUGGAAAACCCAGCACAUACAGGUCACAGUACCUACUACAUGACACAGUCUCAUAGAGAAGGCUUUUUGGAUGAGUCACAGCUUUAAAAACGAAAGGGGGCAGUAAUAAAGGUUUGUACCUUAAGUCAGAUGGGAGAAGCAGAGCUUUCUAUCUCCCUAAAUCUAAGAACUAAUGUCAACAAAUCUUCUGAUUAUUUCACCACGAAAGAAAAUGUUCUGAUUAAUUCUUUUUUAACUAAUAAUCCUUUUUAUACCUCUAACAUCAGAGUGGUUGUUUCUGAAUAAAAAGUCUCUUGUUUCUCUUUUUUUCACAGCCUUUCUCUCUCUAAUCCUCACCCUGCUGAAUUUAAUUGCCUUGGCAAUGCCAAAACAAUGUCUGAUCCUAAUAGGUCAGCAUUGAUCGCUCUAAACCAAUUGGUUCCUUCAUUAGCAAGAAAAUGAAGUAAAGAGAAAAGGCAGGUGGCUCCCGAAUAGCCAGCUGGGCUUUUGUUCCUCUUAUAGUGCCUCUCUCUCAUUAAACAGUAGCUGAUCGAUUGGCAACUUGCUCAAAAUCCACAAAAACUAUUCAUCACUUUUGACACUGACCUGUUUUAACAGGCCACUCAACUCGAGAUUUGGAUAGCCUAGACAGUUACUUGUGGGGCCCACCACAUCCUUCUCAGACAGAUCUCUCUGAAGAUCAUAUGAAGAAAAAAGGACACGUCAUCCAAAGAACCAUUUCCUGGCAGGGCACCAAGUAAAGCCCUGAGUGGCUCACCCCACUUUGAGUCUUAGGAGCAAAGGCUGCCCAGGAGGAGGGUCCUUCUCCCAGAGUCCAGAUUCUAUGGCACAGACAGGGUGGAUGAGGAACUAGUCUUGGUGAUACCAGCAAGUAGAAGUAAGCAGGGGUCUAAAAAUGUCAGUCACCAAAGAGAAAGAGAAGAAAAUGAGGUAAAAGAGGGAAAGGGAAUACAAAAAAGGAGAGAAAAGAAAACAUACACAGGAAAAACAGAAUUCAUUCAGAAUGCACUACUUUGGCUGGUUGGGAAGUUAAGAAAGAGAGCAGACUAGAGUUUCGUCAGAUGGUCUAGGAAACUACCUCUCUGUCAGAACUGAUGAGUCACUUAUUCCUGGGGCCAGGUGACUCUGAGCACCAUGACACACUGCUAGGCACUGCUUCAAGCCAGUUGAACCAGCCUAGGGAAGGGCAGUAUCAGACAAUCUCAACUGAGCAUCUACUUACAUGCGAGAGACCACAUAGGCACUUCACGUACGAUGUCUUAUUGAGCCUGAUGACAAUCCUAUGAAGGGGUCAUUUCUAUCCUCAUCUUACACACAAAAAAAUAGGAUUCAGAGACAUAAAGUAACUUGUUCAAGGACACACAGCCAGUAAGAAAUCGAAUAUAGUUCUGUUCAAUUCCAAAGCCCAAGCCCUCUUAAGGAAACUCUGAUGGGAAAUUUGAAAACGAAAAAGCAAAAAAUAAAUCCAGAGCUAACUUAUGAAGUAUAGAAAUAAAGAAAAAUAUAAAAUAAGACAAUGAUUUUUAAAGGAAAUGAAAAGAAUGGAAGGAAGACAUAGCCACAGGUUAUUGCUUUCACCUCAAUGGGUUCUUGGUAAAUGACCCCUGCUUCUGCACAUUCUGAGAGGAGGAGGCAGGGCCAACAUUGUUGACGACAGCCUCCCUUCCACUUGAUGCCUUUCCACACAGCUAGCAGGGUGGCUGAAGAGAACUGGACUGAAAGACAGUCAAAUGCCCCACUAGUAGGUCAAUUUUCUCCUAAAUUUCAAAUCCAGAAAAAGAAACAAUUUAUUUCAAUUUACAUGUCAGUAAUUCCUUGUGUUAAUAGAACCAAGAUCUAAGAAAAACGAUUCACUUCUCAUACAAUCUGAAGCUUCACCACAGUUACUCAGUAAAAAAACACUUAUCAAUAUGUUAAAUUUAUUCACCAUUCACAAAACACAUUCCAUGUUCAAAGUACCCACUUAAGGCUGGAUGAACACUGCUAUAGUUAUUAAAACCGUAAUCUUAAAACCAAAAUCUUAUUACAAUAUUGAUUUAUAAGGGAAUAUCAGCAAUAAUUGAAAUAAGAAAUAAUCAAGAGACGAAUUUUUGUAAAUAAGAUUUACCACUAAUGACAGACCCACAGAGAUGUUGAAUCUCUCAAAAUCUUUAUUCCAUUAAAAAGAAUGGGGGGAAAGAGAAAGGGACAUUUAUUAGAGGCCCAUUAUCUCCUGGGCACUAUGUUAUACUCUGGAGAUACAAAAACGAAAAGAUCAAAGUACUGUUCUCUGGGAGUUCAGAGUCUAGUAGAAGAGACAAAAUGUUUGGUAAAUCAUUCAUCUAUCCAUUCGCCUAUCCCUUCUUUCAUUUUUCCAACCAACAACUAUUUAAUGAGAACCUGCAAUGUGUUGCCAAGCAUUGGGCUUGGCACUGGGAAUGCAACAAUGAACCAGAAAGACAUGCUGUGCCCUCAGGAACUCAGACUCUAAUGGGGGAAAUAGGCCAGGAAACAGGCAACUAUGAUAAAAUGUGAUAAGUGCUAUGACAGGAGAAAGACAGGGAACUCUGACAGCAUGCAAUAAGGACGCCAUUGAUGAAGGAUAAACAGGAGUUAGAAAGGCAAACAAGGGGAAGAAAAACAGAAGAGAAAAUUCUUUUGUGGUAAGCAAGAACAGUAUGUGGGAAUGCUCAAAGACAAGGCAAGGCAUGUCAAAAGAACUUAAAGAGAUUCUAUGGAUGCAUCAUUCAGUGGUAGCCAGCCUCCAAUAUGGCCCCUCAAUGGUUGUCUUCUGCGUAGUUCCCUCCCAUACCACCAGGGCUGACCUUUGUAACCAACAGGAUAUUAUGGAAAUGAUGGUGUGUGACUUCCAAUGCCGUGUUAAAAAACAAAACAAAACAAAGCAUGGUGGCUUCUGCUUUGCUCUCUUUUGAAUCACUUUCUUUGAUGGAAGUCAGCCACCAUGCUGUGAGGACGCUCCAGCAGUCCUCUAAAGAUGCCAAUAUAGAAAGGAACUAAGGCCUCUGCCAACAGCCAGUGUCAACCUGUGAGCCAUGCAAGUGGCCACCUUUAAAAGUGAAUCCCUCAAGCCUGGUCAAGCCUUCAGAUGACCAAAGCCCUGGCUGACAUGUUGAUUACAAUCCCAUAGCAGACCUCAAGCUAGAACCACCCAGCUAAGUUAGUCUCAAAUUCCUAACCCAUGGACUGUGAGGUAACAAAUGCUUAUUGUUGUUUUAAGUCACUGCGUUUGGGGUAAUUUGUUACCCAGCAACAGGUAAGCAAUGUAUUUAUCAUUCAAGUCGGGAGGGAGACGGCUGAGACUGGAGGCUGGAAACGUAGGCGGGGCCAGAUCAGGAGACGGCUGAGACUGGAGGCUGGAAACGUAGGCGGGGCCAGAUCAAGUAAAGCUUUGAACAAGACCUUAUCCUGAAAACAAGGAGGAGUCAUCGGAGGUUUUGAAACAGCAAAGUGAUAAAGCCAGCUGUCAAAGGACUGAAGGAGGUGCAGAGCAGCUGGCUUCCCCUGGGGUGAAGCUUGAUCGAUGGGGAAGAGAAGACGGGAGAGAAUCAUGCCUGAUGAACAACCUGCUGUGUGUCUUUGCAGUAGUUGUGAAGUGGUGAACAGCACAGUAGUGCACUGCAUCACAUUUUCACCCGACAUUUAGCCUCACCAUUUCUUCCUUUACCCUCACUGCUCUGGGCUGGAACCUACCAAAGAAAAUGUCAGCACUUUAA